This 66-nucleotide transfer RNA is filed under the name Psilothrix sp. PSI01. RNAcentral describes it as "tRNA-Arg". Lineage: Eukaryota; Metazoa; Arthropoda; Insecta; Coleoptera; Melyridae. The record is from RNAcentral.
AAUAAGAAGCAAAAAUUUUUGCAAUUAGUUUCGACCUAAUAGAUUGAUAUUAAUUUAUCCUUAUUU